Molecule: long non-coding RNA, 434 nt
Organism: Homo sapiens (human)
Lineage: Eukaryota; Metazoa; Chordata; Mammalia; Primates; Hominidae
Exons: 3
Source: RefSeq, a predicted model, not a curated record
GGCACACUGAUCUUGGACUUCCAACCUUGAGAAUUGCAGAAAGUCCUGGAAAUUGGCUACGUAGGAAGCAGCCCUCAGUUCCAGACUCCAUGUGAAUGAAGCCAGACAGUAAGAGCCCUCAAGUCUUCUCCAUCUGUUCCCCAGAGGCUGCUGAAAGGACCCAGGGAAGAGCUCAUGACUGUGGUUUCAUCCGUGUGGGGCCCACAGGCAUGUUCACAGAGGAUGCGGGUGCCUGGGGCCCAGAUCAAGGCAAGAAAACCUGGCUGAAGUGGGAUCUACCAGUAAUUCACUGAGAGACUGAACAUAAAAUUAAUGAUUUGCUCCCUGGGUGAGUUCCUGCCUGUACAGCCGAGAGCACCACAGCCCCUUCUUCUUGGGGCUUCCGAUUCAAGGACAUGACAAAAGGAUCCGGAUUGGCUGAAUGUGAUUCAGAU